AUUGAACGCUGGCGGCAGGCCUAACACAUGCAAGUCGAGCGGAUGAAGGGAGCUUGCUCCUGGAUUCAGCGGCGGACGGGUGAGUAAUGCCUAGGAAUCUGCCUGGUAGUGGGGGAUAACGUCCGGAAACGGGCGCUAAUACCGCAUACGUCCUGAGGGAGAAAGUGGGGGAUCUUCGGACCUCACGCUAUCAGAUGAGCCUAGGUCGGAUUAGCUAGUUGGUGGGGUAAAGGCCUACCAAGGCGACGAUCCGUAACUGGUCUGAGAGGAUGAUCAGUCACACUGGAACUGAGACACGGUCCAGACUCCUACGGGGGGCAGCAGUGGGGAAUAUUGGACAAUGGGCGAAAGCCUGAUCCAGCCAUGCCGCGUGUGUGAAGAAGGUCUUCGGAUUGUAAAGCACUUUAAGUUGGGAGGAAGGGCAGUAAGUUAAUACCUUGCUGUUCUGACGUUACCAACAGAAUAAGCACCGGCUAACUUCGUG
Molecule: ribosomal RNA, 484 nt
Filed under: uncultured bacterium
Lineage: Bacteria
Description: partial 16S ribosomal RNA
Rfam family: Bacterial small subunit ribosomal RNA
Source: RNAcentral